UACGCAGGUGGCGAGCGUUGCCCGGAAUCACUGGGCGUAAAGGGUGCGUAGGCGGCAGGGCAAGUCGCAGGUUAAAGCCCGGGGCUCAACCCCGGAAAGGCCUGCGAUACUGCCCUGCUUGAGGGCCGGAGAGGCUGGCGGAAUUCCCGGUGUAGGGGUGAAAUCCGUAGAUAUCGGGAGGAACACCGGUGGGGAAGCCGGCCAGCUGGACGGUUCCUGACGCUGAGGCACGAAAGCGUGGGGAGCAAACCGG
This 253-nucleotide ribosomal RNA is filed under the name uncultured microorganism. RNAcentral's name for it is "partial 16S ribosomal RNA". It matches the Rfam family "Bacterial small subunit ribosomal RNA", at positions 524 to 776 of the family's 1533-position model. The record is from RNAcentral.